This 436-nucleotide long non-coding RNA is filed under the name Populus tremula. RNAcentral describes it as "long non-coding RNA (PTRE_LNC003022)". Lineage: Eukaryota; Viridiplantae; Streptophyta; Magnoliopsida; Malpighiales; Salicaceae. The record is from RNAcentral.
GGGGGGCUGUAAUGCUUCCUCCUCUCUUCGAUCUCUUCACCUGCAAAUCCAAAAAAAAACACAGCAAGGGCAGUCGAUUUUAAGUUUUUUUCUUAGUUUUUCAAAUCUGUUUUUUUUGUUCUUUCUUUUCAGAUCUGCAGUUCAUCCCUUCUCCUUCUUCGGAUCUGCUUCUCCUUCUCUUCGUCUCGGUUUCGGAUCUGCUUUUAUCUGCAGAUCAGCCCGUGUGUUUCUUCUUCUUCUUCUCUCCUCUGCUUCAGGCGGCCGAUCUGGUGGUUGCAAAGGGGAUCGCGGCUGUGGUCGCUGCUGCUGUCGUCCGUCGCUGCUGUGGAGGGCGAUGGGUCGACUGUUGCCCGGUGGCUGAGGGAAGGGAGGCCUGAUCCGGUGUGAGGCUGAGCUCGGCCUGUUGAAGCUACGGUGGAGCUGGCGGCUGCUGGUC